GAUGAACGCUGGCGGCGUGCCUAAUACAUGCAAGUCGAGCGAACAGACGAGGAGCUUGCUCCUCUGACGUUAGCGGCGGACGGGUGAGUAACACGUGGAUAACCUACCUAUAAGACUGGGAUAACUUCGGGAAACCGGAGCUAAUACCGGAUAAUAUAUUGAACCGCAUGGUUCAAUAGUGAAAGACGGUUUUGCUGUCACUUAUAGAUGGAUCCGCGCCGCAUUAGCUAGUUGGUAAGGUAACGGCUUACCAAGGCAACGAUGCGUAGCCGAGCUGAGAGCGUGAUCGGCCACUCUGGAACUGAGACACGGCCCAGGCUCCUACGGGAGGCAGCAGUAGGGAAUCUUCCGCAAUGGGCGAAAGACUGACGGAGCAACGCCGCGUGAGUGAUGAAGGUCUUCGGAUCGUAAAACGCUGUUAUUAGGGAAGAACAAAUGUGUAAGUAACUAUGCACGUCUUGACGGUACCUAAACAGAAAGCCACGGCUAACUACGU
This 496-nucleotide ribosomal RNA is filed under the name uncultured bacterium. RNAcentral's name for it is "partial 16S ribosomal RNA". It matches the Rfam family "Bacterial small subunit ribosomal RNA", at positions 28 to 506 of the family's 1533-position model. The record is from RNAcentral.